UGCAACCCCCACCCCCACCCCAUGAACUCCACUCCCUGGAGUCCUUUGCUAAGAGCAAUGGAAAAAGAAACCAGAGAGCAAUUUCCAGGAGUUCAUCCUGAUGAGAGAACUGAAAGGGGUGCACACGUUAGUAACAAGGAGGCCUGGUGACCGCCUAAGGGUCCAAUCGCGGGGACCACCGGGUCAAGGGCGAGAGGAUGGAGACCGCGUCACAGGCACCUCGCUGCUGGAAUGGAGGGUGGUGGGGAGAACUUAGAAGAUUAUGCAAUGGGCUGGCAGGGCUGUACCCAGCCGCCCUGGUAAGCAGAGACUCAAGAAACCUCUGGGGUCCUGUUUUCUGGUCGUAUGAUCCCAGGAGUGCACAUGGGCCCCUCGGGUG
RNAcentral lists this long non-coding RNA (379 nucleotides) under Pongo abelii (Sumatran orangutan). Its description in RNAcentral is "lincRNA". The record is from RNAcentral. Lineage: Eukaryota; Metazoa; Chordata; Mammalia; Primates; Hominidae.